Oncorhynchus tshawytscha (Chinook salmon) is the source of this 804-nucleotide long non-coding RNA. Lineage: Eukaryota; Metazoa; Chordata; Actinopteri; Salmoniformes; Salmonidae. The record is from Ensembl.
CUCUUGGUCUGGACCUCAGUGGGUUUCAAGCGCCCCUGUCAAACUGCAGCCAACAUAUUACUUUACCCAUGCUGGGAACACGCUGGUGAGAGAGCUGUCAGUAUUAAAUACACAGAUUUUCAUGAUGGAGCAGCCGAUUUUCAUCUGUUUCACUCCUGUAGGGAGGAUGGUGUGGGAGGAACUGACUUCUCAAACUGAACAGCCAAAUAGUGAAGACUCUGGUUUUCCCUUUGAGAAGAUGCAGCUGGUUGGGAACUGGGGUUCGUUUCAUUUCCAUACCUGGAUAAUCCGUUAUGGACGAGUGCAGCAAAACGAAGAGGACAUGCAUCACCUGUGCAUUGUGAGGGGAGUGGAGAAACAGCUGUGGUGGAGCAGAGUCAUUCAGGAAAAAAUCCUGGACCCAUGGGGUAAUGUCCAGGUGGUCCUCGCCAACAAGGAGGUGACUGGUAUUAAGUUCCUUGGUAGAAGGAUCCAUGGACUCAGGUCUUGCCUCGUCAAGAGGAGGUCAGAGUUCACCUAUUAUGAGGACGCCCAGCAGGUGGAUAUCUCCACCACAGUGGAGGGGUUCCAGGAGAGGGGGGAUGACAUGAUGACCUAUCAGUUCUCUACCUCUGACAUUAUCACCACCCCUCAUGAGCCGUCCUCUGGCUCCUCUCAGCAGUUCCCCCAGGAUUCUCCACCUCCCCCUCCGCCUCCCCCGUUCCCUUCCCCUCCACCUUACCACUUCACCCAGGACCAGACCCCUGACAGCACUCCUCAGGUAAAACUCUUUCUACAGUCAAUAACCCUUUUUAUUUGUUUUCC